CCUACGGGAGGCAGCAGUGGGGAAUAUUGGACAAUGGGGGAAACCCUGAACCAGCGACGCCGCGUGAGUGAAGAAGUAUUUCUGUACGUAAAGCUCUAUCAGCAGGAAAGAAAAUGACGGUACCUGUCUAAGAAGCCCCGGCUAACUACGUGCCAGCAGCCGCGGUAAUACGUAGGGGGCAAGUGUUAUCCGGAUUUACUGGGUGUAACGGGAGCUUAGACGGCAGCGCAAGUCUGGAGUGAAAUGCCGGGGCCCAACCCCGGAACUGCUCUGGAAACUGUGAAGCUGGAGUGCAGGAGAGGUAAGCGGAAUUCCUGGUGUAGCGGUGAAAUGCGUAGAUAUCAGGAGGAACACCGGCGGCGAAGGCGGCUUACUGGACUGUAACUGACGUUGAGGCUCGAAGGCGUGGGGAGCAAACAGGAUUAGAUACCCUAGUAGUC
Molecule: ribosomal RNA, 440 nt
Filed under: uncultured bacterium
Lineage: Bacteria
Description: partial 16S ribosomal RNA
Rfam family: Bacterial small subunit ribosomal RNA
Source: RNAcentral